RNAcentral lists this ribosomal RNA (253 nucleotides) under uncultured bacterium. Its description in RNAcentral is "partial 16S ribosomal RNA". It matches the Rfam family "Bacterial small subunit ribosomal RNA", at positions 524 to 776 of the family's 1533-position model. The record is from RNAcentral.
UACGUAGGGGGCAAGCGUUGUCCGGAUUUAUUGGGCGUAAAGAGCGUGUAGGCGGCCAUGUAGGUCCGUUGUGAAAACUCGAGGCUCAACCUCGAGACGUCGGCGGAAACCAUCUGGCUAGAGUCCGGAAGAGGAGAGUGGAAUUCCUGGUGUAGCGGUGAAAUGCGCAGAUAUCAGGAAGAACACCCGUGGCGAAGGCGGCUCUCUGGGACGGUACUGACGCUGAGACGCGAAAGCGUGGGGAGCGAACAGG